CUGCAGCUAAUUAAGCCGACCAGCUCCCUUUCUUCAUGGGGGCCUGGUGUGCAAUGGCUGCAAACAGCAGCCUCCUUGGUAGUGUAUGCAACCUAUUGUUUGUAUGGGUUGCCCUAAGGGACCUUGGAGACAGCC
Molecule: small nucleolar RNA, 135 nt
Organism: Oryctolagus cuniculus (rabbit)
Lineage: Eukaryota; Metazoa; Chordata; Mammalia; Lagomorpha; Leporidae
Gene: SNORA70
Rfam family: Small nucleolar RNA SNORA70
About the family: snoRNA U70 seems to be exclusive to mammals and is a member of the H/ACA class of snoRNA which contain H (ANANNA) and ACA box motifs. H/ACA box snoRNAs are involved in the conversion of uridines to pseudouridines (5-ribosyluracil) a constituent of structural RNAs (transfer, ribosomal, small nuclear, and small nucleolar).
Source: Ensembl